GCCAGCAGCCAUAUCACUCUGCAACUCACCACUGCCAACCCACUGAAGCUAAGCAGGUGUGAGCCUGGUCAGUAUCUUGAUGGGAGACCUCCUGGGAAAAACUAAGGUUGCUGCUGGAA
This 119-nucleotide ribosomal RNA is filed under the name Lepisosteus oculatus (spotted gar). Lineage: Eukaryota; Metazoa; Chordata; Actinopteri; Semionotiformes; Lepisosteidae. The record is from RNAcentral.